AAAAGAUGGAGCUGCUGCUGCUCUGUCUACACUCUUCUUCUUCUUCUUCAUAAUCCGCAGAUCCAAAGCCGUUCUCUCAAGUGAUGUGGGCUUUUUCCAUAUAUUUGGAAGCAGUCGUCAGUCGUCACACUUCCUCAACUGGUGCUGUUGUGAAGGACAAGAAAUAUUGACAACUUAACAGGGCAAUAUGUAGUCCUCCUCGGCUUUUGGUACUUCUUGCGAGUGCUUUCCGUUAGGAAGGAGAUGAAUGUUACACACUUACAGUGGCAAAAAGAGAG
Molecule: long non-coding RNA, 278 nt
Organism: Rosa chinensis
Lineage: Eukaryota; Viridiplantae; Streptophyta; Magnoliopsida; Rosales; Rosaceae
Exons: 3
Source: RefSeq, a predicted model, not a curated record